This 430-nucleotide unclassified non-coding RNA is filed under the name soil metagenome. Its description in RNAcentral is "partial contains 5.8S ribosomal RNA, internal transcribed spacer 2, and large subunit ribosomal RNA". The stretch from base 1 to 120 matches the Rfam family "5.8S ribosomal RNA", at positions 35 to 154 of the family's 154-position model. The record is from RNAcentral.
GAUGAAGAACGUAGCGAAAUGCGAUACGUAAUGUGAAUUGCAGAAUUCAGUGAAUCAUCGAAUCUUUGAACGCAUAUUGCGCUCUCUGGUAUUCCGGAGAGCAUGCUUGUUUGAGUAUCAGUAAACACUUCAACUCCCUUUUCUUUUUUGAAAUUGGAGCUGGACUUGAGUGAUCCCAACGCUUUCUUCCAAGAAAGUGGCGGGUUGCUUGAAAUGCAGGUGCAGCUGAACUUUUCUCUGAGCUAUAAGCAUAUCUAUUUAGUCUGCCUAAAAAACAGAUUAUUACCUUUGCUGCAGCUAACAUAAAGGAGACUAGUUCUUGUGCUGACUGAUGCAGGAUUCACAGAGACAGCUUCGGCUGACUUUGUAAACUCGAUCUCAAAUCAAGUAAGACUACCCGCUGAACUUAAGCAUAUCAAUAAGCGGAGGA